Non-coding RNA from Pipistrellus kuhlii (Kuhl's pipistrelle), 1120 nucleotides. The record is from the annotation of a RefSeq genome assembly. NCBI's taxonomy places the organism in Eukaryota, Metazoa, Chordata, Mammalia, Chiroptera, Vespertilionidae.
AUGUCCUAUGGGGGCAUCAGUUGCAGACAUCCCAACAAUAUUAAACUAAAAUCUUUUUCAAAUUGAUUUCCCUUUGUUUUGCACCAAUGCCUGUGUUCUCUUUUAGCAACCUGUUUGCUCUAAGCCCAGCCAAGCCUUGUACCCUCAAUACAGAGACAGACACUGAUUGUCCCUUCUAUGGUUCCCUCAGCACCCUUCCCAGUGUCUGGCUCUGGGCCUGCAUCACAAUCCUGCACUUUAAAUGAUGGGCACUAUUCCAUCCAAUCUACCUCCCUCUGUGCAGCUGGGCAAAGACCUCCAAUGAGCCUAGACACUGAGGGGAAAUGGAAUUUUGAGCGAUGUCCUGCCUGACUGAGCAGAGAAGGAAGGAGGAAAUGGUCUGUGGCUGAGAGGAGUCCUGGAAGGGAGGAGGAUAGAGAAACUGUGUAAUGAGGAAGGCAGCUAAUAGCAAAAGAGCAGCUGCCAGAGGAAUAACUCAUUCUGGUCCAUUGAAAUCCAUCCUUUAUCAGAAUCUAUAUAAGGCAUGAAAAGAGAAGGCAGGACUGUCCCCUGUGGCAAGAGAAACUGUCAGGGACAAUGACAUCAUAGGCAGAAGCACCAACCAAGGCCAAAGAAACCAGAGCCCAGCCCCCCUGCCAGAAUAUUCCAAUUAGAAGAUGCCACUCAUUCUGAUUCCAUCAUGGGCUGCAAGCUGCUCUACUGUGUGGCCUUCUGUGUCCUGAGAACAGUCCUCAUGGACACUGGAAUUACUCAGACGCCAAGAUACCUGGUCAUGGGAAUGAGAAAUAAGAAGACUUUGGAAUGCAAACAACAUCUGGGGCAUAAUUCUAUGUAUUGGUAUAAACAGAGUGCUCAGAAGCCACUGGAGCUCAUGUUUAUGUACAACUAUAAGGAACUCGUUGAAAAUAACACUGUCCCAAGACGCUUCUUACCCAACUGCUCAGACAGCUCUCAGUUAUACCUUUACGUGGAUGCCCUGAAGCCAGAAGACUCCGCCGUGUACUUCUGUGCUAGCAGCAAGGACACAGCCUUGCAGAGUCACCUUUUGCCUGUGCAGAAACCUCCUGGGUCCAGUCAGGAAACUGUGGGCAACCAAGGCUCAGUUCAGCAUUUCCCAUGA